RNAcentral lists this ribosomal RNA (484 nucleotides) under uncultured bacterium. RNAcentral's name for it is "partial 16S ribosomal RNA". It matches the Rfam family "Bacterial small subunit ribosomal RNA", at positions 28 to 523 of the family's 1533-position model. The record is from RNAcentral.
GAUGAACGCUGGCGGCGUGCUUAACACAUGCAAGUCGAACGGUGAAGCAGGAGCUUGCACUGGUGAAUUAGUGGCGAACGGGUGAGUAACACGUGAGUAACCUGCCCUUGACUCUGGGAUAACUGCGGGAAACUGUAGCUAAUACCGGAUACGACCCUCGGAGGCAACUCCUGGGGGUGGAAAGAAUUUCGGUCAAGGAUGGACUCGCGGCCUAUCAGCUAGUUGGUGAGGUAAAGGCUCACCAAGGCGACGACGGGUAGCCGGCCUGAGAGGGGGACCGGCCACACUGGGACUGAGACACGGCCCAGACUCCUACGGGAGGCAGCAGUGGGGAAGAUUGCACAAUGGGCGCAAGCCUGAUGCAGCAACGCCGCGUGAGGGAUGACGGCCUUCGGGUUGUAAACCUCUUUUAGCAGGGAAGAAGCGAAAGUGACGGUACCUGCAGAAAAAGCACCGGCUAACUACGUGCCAGCCGCCGCCGUAA